Long non-coding RNA from Sinocyclocheilus anshuiensis, 299 nucleotides. RefSeq lists it as uncharacterized. The transcript has 3 exons. Lineage: Eukaryota; Metazoa; Chordata; Actinopteri; Cypriniformes; Cyprinidae. The record is from RefSeq and is a predicted model, not a curated record.
CAUGUGGACUGAAGUUUUUGACUCCAGUCAUAAAAACCAGUCUCAACCCUUAUCUGAUCUGAAAAAUCAGAAAGAUCUGGAGACGGAGGAAGAAAAUGGUGUAAAGUUCAUAACCUCAUUCAAGAUCUCUGAGUGAAGUUGCAGAAAUGUGACAAUUUAUGUGUUGACUCAAUGGGGCGGCAACAGUGGAGAUGAGAGCGGAUCUGUGUUUAGAGAGCUGGAGCGCAGAAUUAAUCAAUCUUGUGGAUGGACUGCAGCAAGUCCUUUUGCAGUUGUAUCCAUCAAAGUGCUAUGCAGAC